Long non-coding RNA from Xiphophorus maculatus (southern platyfish), 611 nucleotides. RefSeq lists it as uncharacterized. The transcript is spliced from 3 exons. Lineage: Eukaryota; Metazoa; Chordata; Actinopteri; Cyprinodontiformes; Poeciliidae. The record is from RefSeq and is a predicted model, not a curated record.
GAUUAAAAAAGAAGAGAUCAGAAGGGCCUGCUUUAUUCCUGCUGCCCAAAAAUACAAAGUGCUCGUGCCUCAGCAGAAGUGGACUUUCAAACCAAUUUUACGCCUGGGAGAGACAUACACCAUGGCCAGAAAAUGGAAAAAGACAAGACACUGUGUUUUUGAGCCUAACUUUCCCAAUUGGAUCCAUCUGCCUCUGUCUCGUGUCAGCCUGCGUCCAUUUCACACAAACUCGUAUGAGCGCUUGGUGAGGCUCCCUACCCGAACCUACUUCAUCCCUCAGCAGUCUACAGCGGAGUACUACAGGCGAAAAUUCAAAAACAGGCCUGUAAUAACCUCACCAGCACCAUCCCACCACCCCGCUGCUCCACCACCAACUCCUGAUCUAAAUCUGAACUUAUUCAACAAUUAAUACAAAGUAAUAGUUGCUAUACGUUCAAGUAAUUUUACACUUUUAGAAUGAAAGUAUGAAGUCAUCUUUCAAGGUUGGGAGUGUUUACUCUCCUGCAGCAUUUUGCUGACCUGAUUAAUGGACUUCACUUUUUACUUGAUUAAAUAAAGGUUAAUAAAAAAUAAUAAAAUAUUGUCCAACAGUGAUAUUAUUUUAGCCAGAG